This is a long non-coding RNA of Dicentrarchus labrax (European seabass), 2306 nucleotides long. RefSeq lists it as uncharacterized. Lineage: Eukaryota; Metazoa; Chordata; Actinopteri; Moronidae. The record is from RefSeq and is a predicted model, not a curated record. The transcript is spliced from 2 exons.
GGGCUCUCGAUAAAGUGCACUCCGCCUGGUGGGGGUGUGUGGACCGAGGAGUGUAAGAAAUUACAUCAUAAAUAUUAGGAAGAGUUUACACAAACAGGGGUCCUUAACAGGGAUAUUAGAGGGGCAUUAUGGGUAACCACACAUGAAAUUACAAAACAUACUGAAGUAUAAAGUUGCCAAUAAGUACACACACCAUUCACACUUUAUUUAUGAUGAUAAUUAAUUAUUAUUAUUAUAAUUUCUUAUUGAAACACAUCAAUAUCAUCACUUAAAGCACAUAUAUAUGUGCUGUUUAUACACACUGACCUCAUGCACAUAAAAAUACCUGCACAAAGACAUUUAUCCCAGCAUCCUUUGCACUGUUGUUUUACUGUCUACAAAUGUUAUUGUUGUUGUUUAUGUCUAUAUAUACAUACAUUUGUAUAUAGUAGUUUAAGUCUGUUUUGUUGAGCUUGUUGUCCUGUUUAUUUAUGCUUAUUCUGUAUAUGAGAGUCAAAUUCAUUGUAUGUUCAUACCUGGCCAUACAGGAAAAGUCUAGGAACGUCAUAUUAAAACAGGGUGUAACAUCUUAAGCCCACUAUCACUCAGUCCUGAAAUAAAGACAAUAUUAUAUUGAUUUCACUUUGUCUAGACAUGCAUCUGUCCUACAGUCUGUAACCUGUAAGGACACACUCAGCUGUUUGUUGACACUGAAGUGCUAUAACUGACUGUAAGUCAUACACAUUUAGGAAAGUUAGUGUGUGUGUUGUUCACAUGACUUUAUGGUUAAUGAGAUAAAGAGAUGAUCCACUGAUACUGUGCUACUGUGUGUGUGUGUGUGUGUGUGUGUAGGAUGGGAUGUGUGAGGGAGCUGCAGAUGGAGACGCCACAGGAAAGAAGGAGGGGAGAUACAGAGAUUUGACCUCUGCGGUGCCAUUGGCCAGCCUUUCUCUCUGUUUCCUGGUUGAAACUGAACUCUAUAGGCUGAUCUCUUGGUUGAUGGUCCCUAGACGGCUGUGAGCCGUCCAAUCAGCUGCAGGGGGUGGGACCGCGGAUUCUCCUGCUAUCAUCACAUUUGACAGCUGCUGCAGCAGCUCACAUGACCAAACAACAAUUACCUCAUACAUGUAGUACUCCUGCUGAAGGUGUUGCAUUGGAGACAUUGCUCCCUGCUGGCUGGGCAGCAACAAGGGGGGGUGGGGGCUGUCAGCUGAAAUGACAAAACUCAGCCUGCUGGGAUGAUGUCUGAUGGAUGCACCUUGCACUGAUAGAUACUAUAAGAACAUUAUUCACUGUGAUAUUACUCCCACAGUGGUGUGUGGAUGGAUCAAAAAGGUGCAGUCAGUGAGGGUCAGAAGGCAAACAGCUACCAAUCUGCUGAAUAUCCUCACAAAAACUUUAUAUCUACAGUAAUAUUUUACUGCCCUUUAUAACAUCAGUACAUCAGUUUAAUACUAGACCAUGAUUGUGUUUCAGUAUCAACUUCAUCACUGUACUCAGGCUGGACUCAAGUUCUAUAAGUUAUUUAAUAAUUCCAUACAGUGAGAUUGAUGUAUGUAUUUAUAUUGAUAGAGGAAAUCCAGAUUCUGUAUUCUGAUGUGAGGAUGCAUCCAUAAAAAAUGUAUUCAGGAUUUGAAUAUUUCCCUCACUGUGAUAUAUGAAUGUAUGAAAAAAUGUCUCUGCAGCGAGGAUUUAAAGAUCCAGUGUGCAGGAAUAUAGUAGCAUAUAGUGGGGUCAAUUUGCAGAUUGCAACUAACUGAACACCACUCGCAUCUGUAUUUGACGAUCUGUGACUGAGAACAGGCUGUGAAGUGAACUAUCUACAGACAGUGUUUGGUUUGUCCAUUCUGGGCUACUGUAGAAACAUGGCGGUUCAAGAUGGACUCCAUGUAGAUAAAAACAGCUCAUUCUGAGGUUAAAAAAACACAACGAUUCUUAUCUACAGGUGAUUAUACACUUAUGAAUAUUUUCCUGUACUGACACAUUAUGUUUUAUUGCUACAAGGAUUUAUUGUGUAUCUAUGUUAGUUAGUAUUAUUUAUUGUGUCAUGCACAAACAAGACACCAAAAAUACAGUUGCAGUUAUCAAUAACUGCAAUACCAGUUUGGUGCAGACAUUCAUGGUCUUUGUGGACUUUAGUGAUCCCCUGAUUUGUCAUCCUAGAGCCAUUAUUGGCUCAAAAUUAAAGAAAGAAGCAAAGUUUUUAAAAGACAGUGGUUGAAGUGGAGGUAGAGGAGAGGAGGAAGUGCAGUUAUGAAACCAUGAAUUGAUCUAUAGAAUUAAAAGUUGCAUUUAUUAAAGUUUUUCUUUUGAAUUCCUUCGUUAAA